Molecule: non-coding RNA, 72 nt
Organism: Podarcis lilfordi (Lilford's wall lizard)
Lineage: Eukaryota; Metazoa; Chordata; Lepidosauria; Squamata; Lacertidae
Source: the annotation of a GenBank genome assembly
GCAUAGCUCAGUCGAUAGAGCAUGAGACUCUUAACCUCAGGGUCAUAGGCUUGAGAACCAUGUUGGGCAACA